AAUGUGUUGAAAAGUCAUUGAUUUAUAGUGGACAGAGAAACGACGCGGUUGUUGAAAAGUCAUUGAAAUAUAGUUGACCGGGAAAUAUGAUUGAAAAUGCAUCGAAAUAUAGUUGACCGGGAAAUAUGAUUGAAAAUCCAUCGAUCAACGGGUGGUAUACCCAACGUACUGCACCGGACACAGCUCAUUUCUGGACCCUUGGCACAAGCGUACAGAUCACUAUUGCACACCAAUCUUUGUAAUCCCCUGCAAUAAAAAAAAUGACCACAUGGUGCGUUGUUCAGUUCAGAAGUGGGGCAACUGAAAUUGUGCCAAACUCAUGGGUUGAAGGAGAUAAAGUCUUCUGGCCCCCAUACCCUCCUAAGGACUCUAUUAGGCUGAAUGCAGCCAUCCUGAAUAGAGAGCAGCCUGGUCAGGGAUGGCACACAUACCAGCCUAUCCGUCUCCUCAUAACUCGUGAUAGUCAUGAUGAGGCAGCGAGGAGCCUGGACAGAUAUCUCAAUAAAGAUUGUGACAUCACUGACAUCCAGUCUGAGGAGGAGAGCCACCAUGCCCUGAAAAGAAAAAGAAGCGACCCAACUAGCCAGUCAGAACAGCCAACCAUCACCACCUCCACGAAUCUAUCAGACCCUCCAACGCCCCAAUUCCCCCAUGUUGUCUUACCCCAAUGUCCCAGCAUCGUUCCCUGGAGAUGAAUUGGUGUUCUCUCCAAUUAAUUUACUCCAGAGGCCAUCUCCUGAAGUUGUUUCAGAUUCUUCAGAAACUGCCAGGUUGGCAUUAAAAGAUGUGGCUAUGCAAAAACUUCUUACUGCAGUGACAGAGCUGUCCAAGGAGGUGAAGGACCUGCGGGAGGAGUUUAGGCAAUUCCGCCAGUCCUGCAGGUGUGGACAAUCGGAGUCUGUGGUACAGCCACUGUCGGAGCCCUUGGAGCUGCCCUUCCACACCAUGGAGGCCCUGGCCCAUGCAGAAGAGACACUGUUAAAUGGCACAAACCGACAGACUGCUCGUCUCGCCACCAUUGGAGGGACUACCCUAGAGGUGAGGGUCCGCCGUAUGAUGGCACACCUGUUGUCGAAUGAACUGGCUCCAAGACUGAACUGGGCUGGAAAAAAGAACAAGGAGCCUACUAAACAAAAACGUCCCUUUAAAGAGUUGGCACUCUGCCGAUCUUUGUUUGGUGCAGAGCGGACAACGCAUCACGACACCGUCACAGCAGAUGACCUACUAACCCGGAACAACACUUCUUCUUCUUCUUCUUCUUCUUCUUCCUUGAUGUUUAACGGCGGUUGGCAUCCAACUUCAAUGGUGCAUUACCGCCACCUACUGUACUGGAGUGUGAACCGGAG
Cyprinus carpio carpio is the source of this 1346-nucleotide long non-coding RNA. The record is from Ensembl. Lineage: Eukaryota; Metazoa; Chordata; Actinopteri; Cypriniformes; Cyprinidae.